GGAACAUGAUGUCGCAGAGGGUGAGAAUCCCGUACGCGGUCGACGGCCUUGGCCCGUGSUGAAGCCUCUCUCGACGAGUCGAGUUGUUUGGGAAUGCAGCUCUAAGCGGGUGGUAAAUUUCAUCUAAAGCUAAAUAUGGGCCAGAGACCGAUAGCGCACAAGUAGAGUGAUCGAAAGAUGAAAAGCACUUUGAAAAGAGGGUCAAACAGUACGUGAAAUUGUUGAAAGGGAAGCGCUCGCAACCAGACUUGCGCCCGGUCGAUCAUCCCGGGCUCGCUCGGGUGCACUGGAUCGGGCUCAGGCCAGCAUCAGUUCGGGUGGUCGGAGAAAGGCGCGAGGAAUGUGGCUCCCCUCGGGGAGUGUUAGAGCCUCGGGCGACAUGCGACCCACCGGGACUGAGGCACGCGCCUUCGCGGGCGAGGAUGCUGGCUGAAUGGUUGUGAGCGACCCGUCUUGAAACACGGACCAAGGAGUCUUMUAUCUAUGCGAGUAUGUGGGUGGUAMACCCAGGUGCAGCAAUGWGAGUGAAGGAGGUGASAUCCCCCGAGGGCGCAUCAUCGACCGAUCCGGAUGUCCUCGGAUGGAUUUGAGUAGGAGCAUAGCUGUUGGGACCCGAAAGAGAGUGAACUUUGCGUGGAUAGGRYGAAGUCAGAGGAAACUCUGRUGGAGGCUCGCAGCGGUUCUGACGUG
This 690-nucleotide ribosomal RNA is filed under the name Skyttea radiatilis. Its description in RNAcentral is "LSU rRNA". It matches the Rfam family "Eukaryotic large subunit ribosomal RNA", at positions 192 to 893 of the family's 3401-position model. The record is from RNAcentral. Lineage: Eukaryota; Fungi; Ascomycota; Leotiomycetes; Helotiales; Cordieritidaceae.